This is a long non-coding RNA of Mauremys reevesii (Reeves's turtle), 1749 nucleotides long. RefSeq lists it as uncharacterized. Lineage: Eukaryota; Metazoa; Chordata; Testudines; Geoemydidae. The transcript has 3 exons. The record is from RefSeq and is a predicted model, not a curated record.
AAGAAGAAUUUAACCAGAAGUUGCCAGAAACAGACAGGAGUGGAGGAACUUCGUCACUGCCCUAAAUGCCAGUGGCGUAAUGGAAACAUGAUGAUGAUGACGAAGCAAGAGAAAAGAGACAGCAAAGGGACAGAGCCCUUCUGUCUGGGAGCCCCAAUCUUUGUGAAGGAUUGGAAGGACUGACAUCUGCCAGAGCCUGAGGCUGGAGCUGGAGUGACAUCUGCCACUGCUAAGAACGGAAGUAAGCUUUAAAAAAAAGAGAGAGAGUUUAUAUGGACUGUGGCUGGACAGUCUCGUCAAGGGAGAAGAUUGACUGUUUCAGGAGGCAGCACACUUCUGACUGUUUUAAGUACAAGUCCUUCAGGAGAAGUCUUAGUUUUGCUCACUGAACCACAAAAUUAAAGUACCAUGGAAGAAAUCCAGACAUGCAACAAUGCCAAAAUAUGUAUCACACUAUACUGAAAGGCUUCAAAAUUACUGUAUUUACACAAGGGAAUUACAGACAGAAUAAAUGAAAAUUUUACGGUCUAAGAAAGGAAACACAAUUUUAGUUAACUAGCACUUUUCUACUGCUCUAAAGCUUUUAAUGGGCGCAGAGGGAAUUUGCACUCAGUGAAGUAGAUCAGUGAAAUGAUAAUUUGUCUUUGAAUGGAGUACUUUUAUCCCAUUAAUUUCUGCCAUUAUAGUGUGAGAUAAGAUGUAAGCCAAUGACUAACUGAAAAUUAAGGUCCAAAAAAAGAGGCAACAAAACAAAAGAAUAGCUUAUGCCAUAUUAUGCAAAAUGUAAGAUAAAAUUAAUUUUUACUCAACCUUUUAUUGUAGCCACCUUUAACCUCGAUUUUUGUGCACUUCAUCAUAUCAGUUUCCACUACAUUAAAAUAUCUUCGCUUUACUCAUCAGAUCUCUUUUUCUUAGGCAUAUUUGAUUACAGUCCUUUUGUUACACUUGAGAAAGAAAAAAGUGAGUGUAGUGGAGAUAUGCUAGAGGUGAACACAUGGAUGUGAAAGCAUGGCUGCUUGAAGUACUGCAAAACUUCAGUGUAUUGCUGAAAUAGCAUAAGUUAAUACUUCAGGUUGUGUAAUUCACAACAUUAACCUGACAUUGCAUGUUAUGUAUCGCUCUGUAUUUCACAUAAGUAUAAUCACUGAAUAUUUUGAAAGUAUUUUUGAUGGCAAUACAUAGGAAAAAAAUAGAAGCAGUAGAACACAGCUACUCUGAUUUUAAAGCUUGGGUCUAUAGUUUUUAGAUGUAUAAUAUCAUGUCAUGUGGCUGAGCUAGAAAUCACAUCCCAUAAAGGUGGUGCAAUAGUGGGUUUAGUGAAAUCAGUAGAAAGGUGAAAGUCUUUUCUCCUUGGCACAGCACUUACCUGCCUGGGUUCUUCAGACUGAGCGUGGGCAGAAUGUAUUUUACAUGUUAAUAUAUUUCAGUGUCAUGCUUUUAAAAUUAAAAACUCAAAGUUUGUAAAACAAUUUCCCUUUUAAUUGUUUUUGCAAUAUUAGGCGCUGAUCCUGCAAAGAUUUACACUCAUACUUUGUACUUAUGAAUAGCCCCACUGACUUCAGUGGGACUACUUACAUGUGUAAACUAAGCAUUUGCAAAAGUCUUUGCAGCAUCGUGGCCUUCUGUUCAACAGAAUGAUUAUGAGCUGGUUAUAUAUCUUGCAGUUGUGACUCUUACUAGCUGUAUUUUUCAAUAUUUACAUUUUAAUUAAAAAGGUCACUAAUUGACUCACUUGGAACUGAAAUUUGG